AUUGAACGCUGGCGGCAGGCCUAACACAUGCAAGUCGAACGGUAGCACAGAGAGCUUGCUCUCGGGUGGCGAGUGGCGGACGGGUGAGUAAUGUCUGGGAAACUGUCUGAUGGAGGGGGAUAACUACUGGAAACGGUAGCUAAUACCGCAUAACGUCGCGAGACCAAAGAGGGGGACCUUCGGGCCUCUUGCCAUCAGAUGUGCCCAGAUGGGAUUAGCUAGUAGGUGGGGUAACGGCUCACCUAGGCGACGAUCCCUAGCUGGUCUGAGAGGAUGACCAGCCACACUGGACCUGGGACACGGUCCAGACUCCUACGGGAGGCAGCAGUGGGGAAUAUUGCACAAUGGGCGCAAGCCUGAUGCAGCCAUGCCGCGUGUAUGAAGAAGGCCUUCGGGUUGUAAAGUACUUUCAGCGGGGAGGAAGGUGUUGUGGUUAAUAACCGCAGCAAUUGACGUUACCCGCAGAAGAAGCACCGGCUAACUCCGUGCCAGCCGCCGCCGUAA
This 504-nucleotide ribosomal RNA is filed under the name uncultured bacterium. RNAcentral describes it as "partial 16S ribosomal RNA". It matches the Rfam family "Bacterial small subunit ribosomal RNA", at positions 30 to 523 of the family's 1533-position model. The record is from RNAcentral.